This 253-nucleotide ribosomal RNA is filed under the name uncultured bacterium. RNAcentral's name for it is "partial 16S ribosomal RNA". It matches the Rfam family "Bacterial small subunit ribosomal RNA", at positions 524 to 776 of the family's 1533-position model. The record is from RNAcentral.
GACAGAGGGUGCACACGUUGCUCGGAUUCACUGGGCGUAAAGGGCGUGUAGGCGGGAAGGAAAGUCAGAUGUGAAAUCCCCAGGCUCAACCUGGGAACUGCAUUUGAAACUCCCUUUCUUGAGUACCGGAGAGGAAAGUGGAAUUCCUGGUGUAGAGGUGAAAUUCGUAGAUAUCAGGAGGAACACCAGUGGCGAAGGCGGCUUUCUGGACGGUAACUGACGCUGAGACGCGAAAGCGUGGGGAGCAAACAGG